CCCGCCCGCCCGCCGCCUCAGCAAAGCCUGCAUGCUGAUGAAGUGUUGUGCACGGAUUGGCGGACGGCUCAGUGAUAGCACGACAUCUGAUUGGCAUUUUGCCGUAACUUCGGGAAACUGCAGCUAGGGGCUUUUUGGAUGAGUUUUGAUUGUGGCAAGUGAGUUGUGGGCCUAUCAGCUGGUAGUUAGGGUAAUGGCCUAACUAGGCGGAGACGGGAGACGGGGGAUGUGGGUUUGAUUUCGGUUACGGAGCCUGAUCGAUGGCUACUACCUUCAAGGUUGGCAGCAGGCGCGAAACUUGCCUAAUUCCUGUCGGACGCGGCCACGAGAAGUGAGUUUGUAGCUACUGUUUGGUAUUGCC
This 361-nucleotide ribosomal RNA is filed under the name Microsporidium sp. HEM-2006RM. Its description in RNAcentral is "bacterial SSU rRNA". The stretch from base 17 to 329 matches the Rfam family "Microsporidia small subunit ribosomal RNA", at positions 35 to 333 of the family's 1311-position model. The record is from RNAcentral. Lineage: Eukaryota; Fungi; Microsporidia.